Sorghum bicolor (sorghum) is the source of this 4959-nucleotide RNA transcript. It is a transcript of the gene named protein ROOT PRIMORDIUM DEFECTIVE 1, with no coding region annotated. The record is from RefSeq and is a predicted model, not a curated record. Lineage: Eukaryota; Viridiplantae; Streptophyta; Magnoliopsida; Poales; Poaceae. The transcript is spliced from 8 exons.
GACCGCGAGUCCCGGUCCUCUCCGGCUCUCCCUGCCGGCCGCCUCCCCUCAACCUAGCAGGCAGCAGCAGCCGCCGGUCGGCAACUCAGGCCCCUGCCGCUAGAGGCCGUCCGUGGCUCUGCUCCGCGGUCGGAGGCGCCGGGCGCGCUUGGCUGGGCGGUUGUCCGCCUGGCCGCAGCCGCACUGGCCGCCUGGCUGUGGCCUGCGACACUGCAUUUCCGUAGCGGCGUGGGCAGGGUGCCAGCGGCCAGCCACCAGGGCCGCGCGGCCGCGCGGUACUCAUCGCCUACUCCUAAUCGUCUGAGGCCUGAAUUUAAAUUGCAACGUGCUGCUUCUUUAUAUGCACUUCUGAAUGCUUGGAACUGGUGUGACUACAUAGUUUGGUAUUCAUUUCAUAAAUGAUGGAAAGAAGAUUGGGACGCCAUGUAUAUUUGAUUCCCAGAACUCUUCCCUUUAUGCAACUGAAUGCUAUGUCCUCAUUCUCAGCUGGCCAUGGACGCCGGCCCAAGAAGAAGCUAUAUCACCGUGAACCUGGUCUUGACAAGGCCAUGGAUCUUCAAAAGAAGCCUGCUCUUCUCCUUCGUCUGCGUGACCUCAUUCUGGCACAAAAGACAGGGUCACUACUUGUACGUGACCUUGAAAAGGAGGUUGGCUUUGUCCAAAAAUGGAACUUUCUUUCACUUAUCGAGCGCCACCCCAAUAUCUUCCAUGUCUCUGGUGGAAGUGCUUCCCGAGAGCCCAUUUCUGUCACACUUACGGAGAAGGCCAGAAAGAUAUCCAGUGAAGAGGCUGAAGCGCGAGAGCUAAUGGAGCCAAUCUUGGUGAGAAACCUUAGGAAGUUACUGAUGAUGUCGAUGGACUGCCAGAUUCCUCUGGAGAAGAUUGAACUAAUCCAGUCUGAACUGGGCUUACCUAAGAACUUCAAGAGCAACUUGAUUCCAAGGUACCCUGAUUUUUUCUCAAUCCGUGAUGUGAAGGGACUGGACCAUUUGUGUCUGGAGAAUUGGGACUCUUCAUUAGCAGUUACAAUACGAGAAGAAAAAAUGAUUUUUGAAGGUUCCCAGAUAGGCCGUAGAGGGAUUCCUAAAGAUGGAAAUUUCUUGGGUCCUUUUGCUUUCAAGUUGAAGUAUCCAGCAGGAUUUAGGCCAAACCGAAAGUACCUUGAGGAGGUUGUCAGGUGGCAGAAGAUGGCAUUUCCUUCACCUUAUUUGAAUGCUAGGCGAGUCGAGUCUGCAACACCACAGGCUCGAAAGCGUGCCAUUGCUGUUCUGCAUGAGAUUUUGAGCCUGACAAUGGAGAGGCGGUUGGCAUCUGAUAAGCUAGAUAUAUUUCACAACGAGUACAGGCUUCCAUGCAAAUUACUUCUUUGUCUGGUGAAAAAUCAUGGCAUCUUCUACAUCACUAACAAGGGAGCAAGAAGCACAGUCUUCCUCAAGGAGGCUUACGAAAACAGUAACCUUAUUGAUAAGUGUCCUUUACUGAAAUUCCAUGAUCGGUUUGCAUCUUUGAUUGGCCGACCGUGCUCCAACUCAGACAACAUGCUGGCAGUAUAAUUGGAGUGUGGAUUUACUGAUCAGGAGAUAAACUAUAGUUGGUGCAUCUGUUUUGUUGAAACUCAGCAUUUGCAUCAUCCUAUACAAUCAUCAAAUUCAUGUUGCAGAUUGUCCUGUUUGUGUUAACCAAGACUUGUGCACCUGGGAUUAUCAGCCCCACUUCUUUGUGAUGCAUUAGUAACAGCUGGGCAGAGGGAACUCACAAUAGGGUCAAAUAUGAGAAAUGCUGGCCAAUGAAUUAUUAUGUUAUCUGUAUCCAUCAGGAACAGGUACUGGUUUGUGUCAAAAUUGAUACACUCAGCAGUUAUCAAAUAAAGAAACUGUCUGAUUGAGUGCUGACAGACUGAUGCCAUCAUCUCUCUGAAAGCUUGUGGGUUACAUUGUUGCUUUGCUGAAUAAUGAUCAACGGAAUGGGGACACUCAGUGCUGUUGAUCUGGGAUCAGAUUCUAAAUGGGGGAAAGCUUUAGCAAUGUACCGAAGUGGCUGUCCACAAUGCGCAAGGAAUGCCUUGGUGGGAGAUGCAUCGCAGAUGUUCUCAACUUAACUACAACGCUAAACUGAGCUUUCAGUGGGAUCUGUUGGAAUAAUCAGAUGAGCAUAUACCAAGUAAAGAUCAACCGACAAAAUUAUGGAUGGUGUGGACACAUUGAGGUGAAAUCAUGCCAACUGGCUGCUGCUCGAUUAUAGCCCAUGAAAGUGAGGAGCAUAUACGGGGUGCAGCGAUUGGGACCAGGUUCUGCAUACGCCAAGAGGGCCCCCAUAGUAGUGGUCAUGAGCCUGGUCAGAUGCACUAAAAGCUAGAUUUUGAUGGGAGUUAGUGGCUGAUAGUUUAGGCAAGCCUAUCCUGAAGUCAUCCGAACAAAGGAUGGAGACUAGACGCCCUUUUCGUAUCCUGCUUUUUUCCUUCUGGUAAGCAUUUAUGCCUGCCUCUUUGGUAGCCUUUCUGUUUGCUGUUACUUCCACAACUUACAUUGUGGACCUUGCAUCGUUGGCUUUUAAAUUUGUUGGCUCUAUUAUUGGCCACCAAGAGCACAUGCUUUUACUUUGCUCCUCCAGUCACCGUCGGCCCCUAGUGAGUGACCCAUCUGGAUUUCCAUGUUGAUGCGUCUUCCUUGUACACCAUUCUUUGCUUGCAUGUCACUGUCCUUGGGUGGCAUUACCCAUCUGAUAAACAACUUUUGUGUGUGGCUGGGGCCUGCCUUUCGAGGUUGGCAACUUCCACAAAAUCGCAAGGGUUAUCACUGCAUCGGAACCGGCUUCUCUGGUUGGUUUUGGUGUCCCUUUCCCUGGACCCUGCCUUGACUUUAGGAAGCUACCACUAUCUUUACUUGCCCUUCACUUCGAUUCCCAUACUUACCACCUGAUUUAGACCUAAAUCUAAUUUUAUGCCCCCAUUUAGGUGGUUUCUGGCUUCUUGCAGCUUAUCGCUAGAACAUCAUUAUCCUUUAGUUUUUUGCUGAACUUUUUUAUUGGUUCUUAUUUCUUUUUUCUGCUCUUAAGUAAUAGUUUCUCAAGCUUUAGAGGAAGUCAAUUGAUCCCAUGAAUCUCAUCUCAUCUCAUUGUUAAACGUCUCUCGGUUGAAUGCCACAAGUAGGUCUGGCCAGCCCCGACCACUGUUAUUUCUACCAUUGUUCACCUAAUGUCUACCCAUUUGAUGGAAAGAGCACCUCAUUCAGGCUGUGCAACCGUUUCUCUUUCGCUUGCUUGAAUGAUCAAAUUGGCACUUAGCGGGCGAAACAGUCCUGAUUUGAACAUCUGAGCGUGCUCAGCCAUCGCCGUCCGUCCACCCGGACAAGAAUUUGGACUGUGUAUCAGCGUCAUCCUGGAGUCUGGUUUCUUCCAACUCCUCCAGCAGCAAGUCAUUUUUGUACUUGUCUCAUCUGAAGAAAGUAAUGUUGUGCUUAUUCUAUCCAUGGAGUAGGGGUCCAACGUGGCGUAGCCAUGUGUGAUUUAUUAGGUUGAGAUUUCGCAAUCCAGGCGUACAAUUGGGCUGCCUGCCUGCCUGCCUGUCCCUCUUUACCCAAUCCAUUGGUAGUGUUUGCAAGUUUUCCUCAUCUUUCUUUAUCCCUGUCAUGUUGACAAGUAAAGACAUGGGGCAUAUUAUUCUUCGAGCCCAUUACUGAAAGAAACGAUUUUAUUCCAUGUCGAUCAGGCCGGGCAUCUAGAGAGGGAGAUGAAUCGUUCCAUCUUUAGCUCACCACCAAACCCACCGGGUCAAUCCACUGAGGAAAUAAGGUCUACUAGCAACCUGCAAAAAAUCAAGUUGUAGUGCAGCAGAGGCCAAGUUUUGUUAAAGAUAAUAAACAGGUAAUGAUUUCUUGUAGUAAGCUGUGAAUGGCAGAAGCAGCCAAUGCAAGGGGCAUAUGCGUCCAUGGCAGUGACCUCUGCAAGCUGCAUUGCGUCGCUUCUCAUCUGAAUGAUGAUGAUGGUGGUGGUGGAGGACCGCUGUGUGAUGUGGUGUGUGGGAUUCCGCCGGGUUUUGCUGUUGUCUGCUGCUGCCGGAUGCUGAAGGUGAAGCCAUGCACCUGCACCUUUCUGCCAGCAAAAGAAAACUUGCUGUAUCCUGUUCUACUGCUGCAAUGAGAACCUUGCACGCCUCCAAUGCUGCAAGUGGUGGGUUGAUUUCAGCAGAUAUAUACACAAUACGAUACGUACUCCUACUUGUGUGAGCUUGUUCUGGAGCUUUCGCCGGGUGUUUCUUUCUCGCCUGUCAAUCAUCAUGUGCUGCAUGCUUGCAGCAAUUACAGGGGGGACGCUGAUGGUGGGCGUGGAAUGGGAUGGGAGGCCGCAUAAAUCCAGGGAAAGGGACGCGUGCGUGCAUAAUUGCGCACAGCACAGCACACACACACACACACAUCUAUGAUGUAUGUACAUGCAAUUAUAAAUCCUGACCUGACGCUUGUGUUGUGUGCUUGUGAAGUUGUGAUCCAUGCAUGACUGGAGAGCCCUGGCGACGGGCAUCCUGGCGCACCGACUGCACCUAGCUUCUUCUUUCGGCAGCUAGCUAGCACUCCGCGCGACACGAGGCCGUGUGGGAUGGAAUUGGAUUUUUUGGCAUUUGGGAGGCGGAUGAAGGAAACCAAUUCAACCCCGUAUUCAGAGGCCAGCGUUCACUUGAAAGCCAAGGCAGCUGGGGAGGAGCCAUGCAUGCGCGCGCCCCAUGCCAUGCAGAUCGAUGCAGUCGAGGCCGUUGGGAUCGAUGCGACGAGAUGACGGGUGGCCUGUGAGAUGUGUUUGGUUAGGCUGAUAGGCUCCUGUGUGACAUUAAAAAAAAAACCGUGAGGCUAGGAUACGAGAGGGAGAGAGAGAGAGGCUUCUUCUCGGUUGCACAGUAGAAUGAUGGAGAUCACAAUACUAAAUAAUUGAGAAUGGUAGCUACAGUGGUAUGGUUGUCCGUUUGGAGCU